AAGAAAGUGCGAUCAGAGCACUAAAAAGCACUAAAGUGUAAUGCUUUUUCCAUUGAAGAGUGUAACUUUCAGACCCUUUCCUGGACCAUUUCUGGACGAGAGCAGCUUAUAUAAGAAGCAGAACUUUCAAUCGAUGUUAUAUUCAAAAUGUGGACGUCGUAUAUAUACCUACUUGCCUGAGGAUAACGUGAGAUUGUAUCAAUUUCAUGAAAUUCCAGAAAAUUUGGUAAAAUAACGAAAUAAAUUGAAUGUUUCUUA
Molecule: long non-coding RNA, 258 nt
Organism: Leptinotarsa decemlineata (Colorado potato beetle)
Lineage: Eukaryota; Metazoa; Arthropoda; Insecta; Coleoptera; Chrysomelidae
Source: RefSeq, a predicted model, not a curated record